AUUUGUAGAAAACAAAUUUUGCUAUGAAAGCUUUGAAUCUUAUUAUGCUAUUCACCACUGUGAAUAUAGAACCAUACUAACAAAACCCUCAUAGCAAAAUUUGUUUUCUACAAAUAAAUAAAUGACCGUCGCCAACUCCAGAGACAAUACUCAAAAACUUGCAGACUCAAAUGAAGGAGCACGAGAUUAUGAAGACAUUUUCAUUUGAAUUUGC
RNAcentral lists this unclassified non-coding RNA (214 nucleotides) under Hevea brasiliensis (rubber tree). The record is from RNAcentral. Lineage: Eukaryota; Viridiplantae; Streptophyta; Magnoliopsida; Malpighiales; Euphorbiaceae.